AUUUUUGCUCCUAAAUCCCAAACCCUAAAAUCUAAUCCCUAAACCCUAAACCCUAAACCCUAACGCUAAACCCUAACUCUAAACCCUAACCCUACUCAUAUUUCACCCCGAAAUGCUAACCUAGAUUCUUCUUGCUCUACAAAGCUUUGAUGGUGUAGCCUAAGUCUGUAUGAUUUUUG
This 179-nucleotide small RNA is filed under the name Arabidopsis thaliana (thale cress). RNAcentral's name for it is "ATSL037600". The record is from RNAcentral. Lineage: Eukaryota; Viridiplantae; Streptophyta; Magnoliopsida; Brassicales; Brassicaceae.